GCGCAGCAGUCGCGAAAACUUCACAAUGUGCGAAAGCACGAUGAGGGAAUCCCAAGUGCUUGCACGUAAGUGUAAGCUGUUUCUCUGUCUAAAACGCAGAGAGAGUAAGGGCUGGGUAAGACGGGUGCCAGCCGCCGCGGUAAUACCUGCAGCUCGAGUGGUGACCGUUAUUAUUGGGCCUAAAACGUCCGUAGCCGGUUUAAUAAAUGCCUGGGUAAAUCGGACCGCUUAACGGUUCGAAUUCCGGGUAGACUGUUAAACUUGAGACCGGGAGAAGUUAGAGGUACUCCUGGGGUAGAGGUGAAAUUCUGUAAUCCUAGGGGGACCACCAGUGGCGAAGGCGUCUAACUAGAACGGGUCUGACGGUGAGGGACGAAGCCCUGGGGCGC
RNAcentral lists this ribosomal RNA (389 nucleotides) under uncultured microorganism. RNAcentral's name for it is "bacterial SSU rRNA". It matches the Rfam family "Archaeal small subunit ribosomal RNA", at positions 330 to 720 of the family's 1478-position model. The record is from RNAcentral.